GAUGAAGAACGCAGCGAAAUGCGAUAAGUAGUGUGAAUUGCAGAAUUCAGUGAAUCAUCGAAUCUUUGAACGCACAUUGCGGCCAUAGGUAUUCCUUUGGCCAUGCCUGUUCGAGCGUCAUUUACACCCUCAAGCCUAGCUUGGUGUUGGGCGUCUGUCCCGCCGUUCUCGCGCGCGGACUCGCCUCAAAGUCAUUGGCGGCGGUCGUGCCGGCCCCUUCGCGCAGCACAUUUGCGCUUCUCGGAGGCCCGGCGGAUCCGCGCUCCAGCAAGACCUUUCACGACUUGACCUCGGAUCAGGUAGGGAUACCCGCUGAACUUAAGCAUAUCAAUAAGCGGAGGA
RNAcentral lists this unclassified non-coding RNA (342 nucleotides) under soil metagenome. RNAcentral describes it as "partial contains 5.8S ribosomal RNA, internal transcribed spacer 2, and large subunit ribosomal RNA". The stretch from base 1 to 120 matches the Rfam family "5.8S ribosomal RNA", at positions 35 to 154 of the family's 154-position model. The record is from RNAcentral.